UCAAUCAUCUUCAAUGUUUCU
This 21-nucleotide non-coding RNA is filed under the name Caenorhabditis elegans. Lineage: Eukaryota; Metazoa; Nematoda; Chromadorea; Rhabditida; Rhabditidae. The record is from RNAcentral.